CGUUAGAGCAUUGAGAGGCUCUUUCCCUAGUACGAGAGGACCGGGAAGGACGCACCUCUGGUGUACCAAUUAUCGUGCCCACGGUAAACGCUGGGUAGCCAAGUGCGGAGCGGAUAACUACUGAAAGCAUCUAAGUAGUAAACCCACUCUAAGAUGAGUGCUCUCUUAUUCCAACUUCCCCAGAGCCUCUGGUAGCACAGCCGAGACAGCGACGGGUUUGCCUGCCCCUAUGAGGAUGGAGCAACAGAAGUUUUGAGAAUUCAAGAGAUGGUCACGGCGAGACGAGUCAUUUAUCAUUACGAUAGGUGUCAAGUGGAAGUGCAGUGAUGUAUGCAGCUGAGGCAUCCUAACAGACCGG
Non-coding RNA from Helianthus annuus (common sunflower), 358 nucleotides. The record is from Rfam. Lineage: Eukaryota; Viridiplantae; Streptophyta; Magnoliopsida; Asterales; Asteraceae.